This 253-nucleotide ribosomal RNA is filed under the name uncultured bacterium. RNAcentral describes it as "partial 16S ribosomal RNA". It matches the Rfam family "Bacterial small subunit ribosomal RNA", at positions 524 to 776 of the family's 1533-position model. The record is from RNAcentral.
UACGAGAGGCCCAAACGUUAUUCGGAAUCAUUGGGCGUAAAGCGCUCGUAGGCGGAUCGGACAGUCGGUGAAGAAAGACCCGGGCUCAACUCGGGGAACGGCACCGAUACUAUCGAUCUUGAGGCAAUCAGAGGGUGAUGGAAUUCCCGGUGUAGCGGUGAAAUGCGUAGAUAUUGGGAGGAACACCAGUGGCGAAGGCGAUCACCUGGGGUUGUUCUGACGCUGAGGAGCGAAAGCUAGGGGAGCAAACGGG